This 1671-nucleotide long non-coding RNA is filed under the name Oreochromis niloticus (Nile tilapia). RNAcentral describes it as "lncRNA (ENSONIG00000041997.1)". Lineage: Eukaryota; Metazoa; Chordata; Actinopteri; Cichliformes; Cichlidae. The record is from RNAcentral.
UAACCCUUCCUGUCUUGGAGGAGGGGUGUCUGAGCGUUGCUCAGGUGCUUCUGGUUCUAAGACAACAAUUUUCAUUUCGACCUGGGGCCCGUUCUUCGUACCUCGCUAAGUAAGUUAGCCGGAUUUGAAUGUUGACGAUUUCGCGUGAUCUUGGAUCGUUCGGUUCUCCGAAGCUCAUCUGGGACUUGCUGUCAUAGCAACAGAUCCGUAAGCGUAAACCUGCUCGGGAGCAGGUUUACUUUAUGUAAACAGGAUUAGAUCGCGGCCACUCAGGUAUGUCCGCUGCAGUUAUAUGAAAGCAAGAGCGAUAUUUCGCCACUGUUUUACCAUAAAUAAAUAUUAGCAAUGUAACUAAAGAUAAUGCAGCAUUUGAUUCUUUUAUUGAUUUCAUACAGAUACAUACAGGUCAUUUCCGAAAAAAAGGGAAAUGUACUAUUAAUCAUCCUAUUACAUGUAGUAGAUCAUGUCAGAUGUAAUUCAUAUUUUAGAGUAGUAAUAGUAAAUUACUACGUGCAAUCAAGAUGAGCACACCGUCGUGCUGAGCUAAAGGAUCCUGUCUAUCCCGCAAUAUACGCUAAAUUCUGUAAACUCUCCUUAUCAAUCUUGCACCUUCCUUGCUCGCGUACAAACGGACAGGACAUGGCUGCGACAGACUUCCCAAAUCCACCUUCGCUUUUAUAGUCGUGGUCUGUCAUCUUGAUUACACGAAGUAAUUUACUAUUACUACCCUAAAAUAUGAAUUACAUCUGACAUGAUCUACUACAUGUAAUAGAAUGAUUAAUAGUACAUUUCCCUUUUUUUAGGAAAUGACCUGUAUGUAUCUGUAUGAAAUCAAUAAAAGAAUCAAAUGCUGCAUUAUCUUUAGUUACAUUGAUAAUAUUUAUUUAUGGAAAACCAGUGGAGAAAUAUCGCUGUUGCUUUCGUAUAAAUAAAGCGGACAUACCUGAGUGGCCGCGAUCUAAUCUUGUUUACAUAAAGUAAGCCUGCUCCCAAGCAGGUUUACGCUUACGGAUCUGUUGCUAUGACAGCAAGUCCCAGAUGAGCUUCGGAGAACCGAAUGAUCCAAGAUCACGCGAAAUCGUCAACAAUCAAAUCCGGCUAACUUACUUAGCGAGGUACGAAGAACGGACCCCAGACCACGGCAGAAGCAGAUAUGGUAUGUAAACACUGGUUUGUUUUUUUUUAAACCCUCUGGUUAAGGUUAUGGGCAUGUGCAGUGAAUAUCAGCGCUAUGUGGCCAGAAGUGUGAUAAUAUAAUUUAUUUUGUGUAAUAAACAACUGCAAGGAUAGAUGAUUACAACAAAUAGAUGACUAAUACAUAAAAGUAAUACAUAGAGGAAUAAUGAUGAUAAGUUAUGAUGCGUAAUCAUGGGAACAAGUGGGUUUACAAACGGCAGCAGCUGAUUAGCAUUAAAAAAGCUGAAAUAAUACCUCAACUGGAGCCAAUUGUACUAAAUGCACUAAAUGUGCACUGUUACAAGAAUGUUUUUCGUUCUAUUGUUUUCUAUUAAUUUAUAUAAUUUUAAGUUAAGCAGGACAGAGUUCUUUUAAAGAAAGAUUUACUUAUAUUCUCAAAAGUUAAGCAUGUUUUGUUUGUUAAGCAUUCUGUUUAAGAAAGAGACCUGUUUUAUUGUGUUAAUGUUGUCAUUUUGAGCUAAAAAUAAAUGGCUA